Molecule: long non-coding RNA, 341 nt
Filed under: Nicotiana benthamiana
Lineage: Eukaryota; Viridiplantae; Streptophyta; Magnoliopsida; Solanales; Solanaceae
Description: long non-coding RNA (NBEN_LNC038898)
Source: RNAcentral
GUCUUUAAAAAGGUCAAGAACACUGAAAAUUGAUGAAAAUUGGCUUGGUUUUUGGUUAUUUGGUUUCCUCCGACAAAUUCAGUUUUUCUCAAAAUCCCAAAUCGUGCAUCUGGUUUGAAAUGUUUGGAAUUGGUUUUGGAGUUUCAUUCGAUUUGUUGUGUUGACACUAUUACAUUGUUGCUGAUACACCGUUGCUGCUACUGAUCCCUCAUUCUUUUUAUUUUUCUGUGAUUUCUAGGUAUUUUUUCCAAACCAUGGACAACAAGUUAUUAAGAACAUAUAUUUCGAGUUGAAGUCUGAAUGAAUACAAGUUGUAUUUGAAUCUCAUUUUUUCUGUUUCC